AUUCUUAUAGUUUAAGUGAAAAACAUAAUAUUGAAAAUAUUAAAAUAUUUUUUAAGGAUA
RNAcentral lists this transfer RNA (60 nucleotides) under Ornithodoros furcosus. Its description in RNAcentral is "tRNA-Phe". Lineage: Eukaryota; Metazoa; Arthropoda; Arachnida; Ixodida; Argasidae. The record is from RNAcentral.